ACGGGUGAGUAACGCGUGGGAAUCUACCCAUCUCUACGGAAUAACGCAUGGAAACGUGUGCUAAUACCGUAUACGUCCUUCGGGAGAAAGAUUUAUCGGAGAUGGAUGAGCCCGCGUUGGAUUAGCUAGUUGGUGGGGUAAAGGCCUACCAAGGCGACGAUCCAUAGCUGGUCUGAGAGGAUGAUCAGCCACACUGGGACUGAGACACGGCCCAGACUCCUACGGGAGGCAGCAGUGGGGAAUAUUGGACAAUGGGCGCAAGCCUGAUCCGGCCAUGCCGCGUGAGUGAUGAAGGCCCUAGGGUUGUAAAGCUCCUUCACCGGUGAAGAUAAUGACGGUAACCGGAGAAGAAGCCCCGGCUAACUUCGUGCCAGCAGCCGCGGUAAUACGAAGGGGGCUAGCGUUGUUCGGAUUUACUGGGCGUAAAGCGCACGUAGGCGGACUAUUAAGUCAGGGGUGAAAUCCCGGGGCUCAACCCCGGAACUGCCUUUGAUACUGGUAGUCUUGAGUUCGAGAGAGGUGAGUGGAAUUCCGAGUGUAGAGGUGAAAUUCGUAGA
Molecule: ribosomal RNA, 557 nt
Filed under: uncultured bacterium
Lineage: Bacteria
Description: bacterial SSU rRNA
Rfam family: Bacterial small subunit ribosomal RNA
Source: RNAcentral